Molecule: ribosomal RNA, 472 nt
Filed under: uncultured Desulfovibrio sp.
Lineage: Bacteria; Pseudomonadati; Thermodesulfobacteriota; Desulfovibrionia; Desulfovibrionales; Desulfovibrionaceae
Description: bacterial SSU rRNA
Rfam family: Bacterial small subunit ribosomal RNA
Source: RNAcentral
ACGGGGCCCGCACAAGCGGUGGAGUAUGUGGUUUAAUUCGACGCAACGCGCAGAACCUUACCUAGACUUGACAUCCCGGGGAUUUUCUGGAAACAGAGAAGUGCUUUAGCAAUAAAGAACCCGGUGACAGGUGCUGCAUGGCUGUCGUCAGCUCGUGUCGUGAGAUGUUGGGUUAAGUCCCGCAACGAGCGCAACCCUCGCCUUUAGUUGCCAGCAUUCAGUUGGGCACUCUAGAGGGACUGCCGGUGUCAAACCGGAGGAAGGUGGGAUGACGUCAAGUCCUCAUGGCCUUUAUGUCUAGGGCUACACACGUACUACAAUGGCCGGUACAAAGGGCAGCCACUCAGCGAUGAGGCGCUAAUCCCAUAAAGCCGGUCUCAGUCCGGAUCGCAGUCUGCAACUCGACUGCGUGAAGUUGGAAUCGCUAGUAAUCGUAGAUCAGCAUGCUACGGUGAAUACGUUCCCGGGCCUU